UCGAGAAUCUUUGUCAAUGGACGAAAGUCUGAACAAGCGACGCCGCGUGCGGGAUGAAGGCCUUCGGGUUGUAAACCGCUGUCAGAGGUUAGGAAAUUUUGACCGAUCCUCAGAGGAAGUCCGGGCUAAGUUCGUGCCAGCAGCCGCGGUAAGACGAACCGGACAAACGUUAUUCGGAAUUACUGGGCUUAAAGAGUACGUAGGCGGCCAUGUAGGUCAGAUGUGAAAUCCCUCGGCUCAACCGAGGAACUGCGUUUGAAACCACAUGGCUUGAGGGAGAUAGAGGUUAGCGGAACUGAUGGUGGAGCGGUGAAAUGUGUUGAUAUCAUCAGGAACACCAGUGGCGAAGGCGGCUAACUGGGUCUCUUCUGACGCUGAGGUACGAAAGCUAGGGGAGCGAACGGGAUUAGAUACCCCCGUAGUCC
Molecule: ribosomal RNA, 425 nt
Filed under: uncultured prokaryote
Description: bacterial SSU rRNA
Rfam family: Bacterial small subunit ribosomal RNA
Source: RNAcentral